GGAGGGUGCGAGCGUUGUUCGGAAUUACUGGGCGUAAAGAGCUUGUAGGCGGCUUGUUAAGUCUGAUGUGAAAGCCCUCGGCUCAACCGGGGAAGUGCAUUGGAUACUGGCGAGCUUGAGUAUGGGAGAGGAGAGCGGAAUUCCCGGUGUAGAGGUGAAAUUCGUAGAUAUCGGGAGGAACACCAGUGGCGAAGGCGGCUCUCUGGACCAAUACUGACGCUGAGAAGCGAAAGCGUGGGGGAGCAAACAGGAUUAGAUACCCUGGUAGUCCACGCCGUAAACGAUGGGUACUAGGUGUUGGGGGUUUUACCCCUCAGUGCCCGGAGCUAACGUAUUAAGUACCCCGCCUGGGAAGUACGGCCGCAAGGCUA
RNAcentral lists this ribosomal RNA (371 nucleotides) under uncultured organism. Its description in RNAcentral is "partial 16S ribosomal RNA". It matches the Rfam family "Bacterial small subunit ribosomal RNA", at positions 527 to 896 of the family's 1533-position model. The record is from RNAcentral.